UCCUCAUUGGUCUAGUGGUCAUGAUUUCCGCUUGUCAUAUGACAAUUGCGCGGGAGGUAAAAUAUACUCCCCUCAAGCUCAGCUUGGGACGCUCUAGCUAACGAAUGACAGACCUGGGUUCGAUUCCCAGAUGGGGAG
Molecule: transfer RNA, 138 nt
Filed under: Friedmanniomyces endolithicus
Lineage: Eukaryota; Fungi; Ascomycota; Dothideomycetes; Mycosphaerellales; Teratosphaeriaceae
Description: tRNA-Asp
Rfam family: tRNA
About the family: Transfer RNA (tRNA) molecules are approximately 80 nucleotides in length. Their secondary structure includes four short double-helical elements and three loops (D, anti-codon, and T loops). Further hydrogen bonds mediate the characteristic L-shaped molecular structure. tRNAs have two regions of fundamental functional importance: the anti-codon, which is responsible for specific mRNA codon recognition, and the 3' end, to which the tRNAs corresponding amino acid is attached (by aminoacyl-tRNA synthetases). tRNAs cope with the degeneracy of the genetic code in two manners: having more than one tRNA (with a specific anti-codon) for a particular amino acid; and 'wobble' base-pairing, i.e. permitting non-standard base-pairing at the 3rd anti-codon position.
Source: RNAcentral